GACGAACGCUGGCGGCGUGCUUAACACAUGCAAGUCGAACGCUGAAGCUCAGCUUUUGUUGGGUGGAUGAGUGGCGAACGGGUGAGUAACACGUGAGUAACCUGCCCCCUUCUUUGGGAUAACGCCCGGAAACGGGUGCUAAUACUGGAUAUUCACUGGUCUUCGCAUGGGGGUUGGUGGAAAGGGUUUUUCUGGUGGGGGAUGGGCUCGCGGCCUAUCAGCUUGUUGGUGGGGUGAUGGCCUACCAAGGCUUUGACGGGUAGCCGGCCUGAGAGGGUGAGAGGUCGCACUGGCACAGAGAGACGGAGCAGCCGCCUAGGGGAGGCAGCAGUGGGGAAGUGUGGACAAUUGGCGAAAGCCUGAAAGAGUCAUGCCGCGUGGGUGAGGGAGGGCUUGGGGUCGUAAGGCUCUGUUGUUCGGUAAGAAAAGCUGCAGGCGCAACAAUGGUUGUGGUGAGGGUACCGAAUGAAGAAGCACCGGCUAACUACGUG
RNAcentral lists this ribosomal RNA (491 nucleotides) under uncultured bacterium. RNAcentral's name for it is "partial 16S ribosomal RNA". It matches the Rfam family "Bacterial small subunit ribosomal RNA", at positions 28 to 507 of the family's 1533-position model. The record is from RNAcentral.